This is a long non-coding RNA of Pezoporus flaviventris, 211 nucleotides long. RefSeq lists it as uncharacterized. The transcript has 2 exons. The record is from RefSeq and is a predicted model, not a curated record. Lineage: Eukaryota; Metazoa; Chordata; Aves; Psittaciformes; Psittacidae.
UGUGGGGCUUUGCUGUUAAACCGCCAUGGGCCGAGCAUCGGACAACACAGCAGGAAAGAAAUUUCCAGAAGAGUAGCACCUGAAGGAGAAAGCAUUCGUGCUGGCUGAUGCUAGCUGAAGGAAGCAUAGAGCACUGAGCAAGAAAAGCUUUUCUGCUGAUUUGAUUCUUCCAGCAAAGGUAGCAUUGCAUACCUUGCUGUAAACAAACAAA